AGCAGCGUGGCUCAGUGACAAGAGCAUGGGCUUUGGAGUCAGAGGUCAUGGGUUCAAAUCCCGGCUCUGCCA
This 72-nucleotide transfer RNA is filed under the name Ornithorhynchus anatinus (platypus). It matches the Rfam family "tRNA". Rfam says of the family: Transfer RNA (tRNA) molecules are approximately 80 nucleotides in length. Lineage: Eukaryota; Metazoa; Chordata; Mammalia; Monotremata; Ornithorhynchidae. The record is from Rfam by way of RNAcentral.